GGAUAACCUACCUAUAAGACUGGGAUAACUUCGGGAAACCGGAGCUAAUACCGGAUAAUAUUUUGAACCGCAUGGUUCAAAAGUGAAAGACGGUCUUGCUGUCACUUAUAGAUGGAUCCGCGCUGCAUUAGCUAGUUGGUAAGGUAACGGCUUACCAAGGCAACGAUGCAUAGCCGACCUGAGAGGGUGAUCGGCCACACUGGAACUGAGACACGGUCCAGACUCCUACGGGAGGCAGCAGUAGGGAAUCUUCCGCAAUGGGCGAAAGCCUGACGGAGCAACGCCGCGUGAGUGAUGAAGGUCUUCGGAUCGUAAAACUCUGUUAUUAGGGAAGAACAUAUGUGUAAGUAACUGUGCACAUCUUGACGGUACCUAAUCAGAAAGCCACGGCUAACUACGUGCCAGCAGCCGCGGUAAUACGUAGGUGGCAAGCGUUAUCCGGAAUUAUUGGGCGUAAAGCGCGCGUAGGCGGUUUUUUAAGUCUGAUGUGAAAGCCCACGGCUCAACCGUGGAGGGUCAUUGGAAACUGGAAAACUUGAGUGCAGAAGAGGAAAGUGGAAUUCCAUGUGUAGCGGUGAAAUGCGCAGAGAUAUGGAGGAACACCAGUGGCGAAGGCGACUUUCUGGUCUGUAACUGACGCUGAUGUGCGAAAGCGUGGGGAUCAAACAGGAUUAGAUACCCUGGUAGUCCACGCCGUAAACGAUGAGUGCUAAGUGUUAGGGGGUUUCCGCCCCUUAGUGCUGCAGCUAACGCAUUAAGCACUCCGCCUGGGGAGUACGACCGCAAGGUUGAAACUCAAAGGAAUUGACGGGGACCCGCACAAGCGGUGGAGCAUGUGGUUUAAUUCGAAGCAACGCGAAGAACCUUACCAAAUCUUGACAUCCUUUGACAACUCUAGAGAUAGAGCCUUCCCCUUCGGGGGACAAAGUGACAGGUGGUGCAUGGUUGUCGUCAGCUCGUGUCGUGAGAUGUUGGGUUAAGUCCCGCAACGAGCGCAACCCUUAAGCUUAGUUGCCAUCAUUAAGUUGGGCACUCUAAGUUGACUGCCGGUGACAAACCGGAGGAAGGUGGGGAUGACGUCAAAUCAUCAUGCCCCUUAUGAUUUGGGCUACACACGUGCUACAAUGGACAAUACAAAGGGCAGCGAAACCGCGAGGUCAAGCAAAUCCCAUAAAGUUGUUCUCAGUUCGGAUUGUAGUCUGCAACUCGACUACAUGAAGCUGGAAUCGCUAGUAAUCGUAGAUCAGCAUGCUACGGUGAAUACGUUCCCGGGUCUUGUACACACCGCCCGUCACACCACGAGAGUUUGUAACACCCGAAGCCGGUGGAGUAACCUUUUAGGAGCUAGCCGUCGAAGGUGGGACAAAUGAUUGGGGUGAAGUCGUAACAAGGUAGCCGUAUCGGAAGGUGCGGCU
This 1415-nucleotide ribosomal RNA is filed under the name Staphylococcus aureus. Its description in RNAcentral is "bacterial SSU rRNA". It matches the Rfam family "Bacterial small subunit ribosomal RNA". Lineage: Bacteria; Bacillati; Bacillota; Bacilli; Caryophanales; Staphylococcaceae. The record is from RNAcentral.